Long non-coding RNA from Micropterus salmoides (largemouth bass), 3221 nucleotides. RefSeq lists it as uncharacterized. The record is from RefSeq and is a predicted model, not a curated record. Lineage: Eukaryota; Metazoa; Chordata; Actinopteri; Centrarchiformes; Centrarchidae. The transcript is spliced from 3 exons.
UUGUACAGUACUUUGUUCAACAGUGCCUGUUUUGAAAUGUGCUUUAUAAAUAAAUUGACUUGAGUUGAUCUUCUGGAGUGAUCCAGUCAGAGUCCUGUCCUCAACCUGACUGAGAUGCUGUGGCAUGACCUCAAGAGAGCGAUUCACACCAGACAUCCUAAGAAUAUUUCUGAACUGAGACAGAUUUGUAAACAAGAGGAAGGGUCCAGAAUUCCUCCUGACUGUUGUUCAGGUCUGAUCUGCAACUACAGAAAACAUUUGGUUGAGGUUAUUGCUACCAGUUAUUAAAUCCAAAGGUUCACAUACUUCUUCCACCCUGGAACUCAGCAGUCCAUCUGAUAUGCAGCAACAGGCUAACAUGCUCAUCUAUGAAGCUAAUAAUUAAAUAUCCUCCUCACCUGGAAAAGCUGUUGGACUCACCUGCUCAGGUAGAAGAGGAGCUGCAGCUUUGAUUUGGCUUCAUCUCUGUUCUAAUGAAACACUUUGUUUUGCUGAUGACUCUCUUGUUUCUGUUCAGAACCUGUCAGGUUGGUGGGAGGAGCCAGUCGAUGUGCAGGAACACUGGAGGUGAAACGAGGAGACUGGAGACCAGUUUAUGGUUCUAACUGGAUACUGACGUCAGCAGCUGCAGUCUGUAGAGAGCUGGACUGUGGCUCUGCUGUUUCAACACGAAGCAGAGAGGACUCCUCAGACAGACCUGGAUGGGAGAUCAGCUCCGACUGUGUGGAGUCUGGAUCUGCUCUGAGGGAGUGUGUGUCAUUAGGUUCAUCUUCCUCAAUUAUGGAGAUCACCUGCUCAGAUCCAGCAGUUGUUAUCUCCAGACUGGUGGUCCUGCCGCUGUUGUUCAUCGCUGCCAUCUGUUUCAUCCAUAAGGCCACCAGGUGGCAGAGGCCAGACCCACAGGAGAACAUGGAGCAUGAUUAUUAUAACCUCGGUGUUUGCAGAGCUGAAGGGGGGCCGGCUGAAGAGGAAGGAGCCAAGGCAGCAGAGUAGGAGCUCCUCCCACAUCCAGAUGGAUUUCUCAGCUGCCACACAACUGUCCAUCAGCUCCGUCAAGGAUUUUCAGUUACACCAGAUGUUUUACCUUUAGACUUCUACUGAAAUGAGACCAGAAAAAAAGAUGACCAAGAACCAAACCCAGCCCAGUAUCUCUGGGAAUUAUGUCCAAAUACGUCAGCUGUUGGAGGUCGGGGUCGUCUAAUGUGCGUUUGCCUUUUUUUUUAACUGAAGCCACAAUCUUUCCAUACUGCUAACCUAGUGUUGUCUAACUCUGUGUAAUAGGUUCUCUGUGGGCUCUAAUACCAUAUAGCAUUAAUAACAUCUUAAAUAAUAAGUUAAGUACAGUCUGUUGAUCAAGUGUACUGGUGUCCAGAUUUCAGUUUACAUUUAAAAGCCUGAAAAAACUAAUUCCAGACAGUGGCACCAAAAUGUUAAUAAUUCUUUAGAGAAAACACACAUCUGACACCAUUCUGAUUAUCUGUACUUGGUUAAGACUUUAUUUUAAAAAUCCAUCCAGUUGUUUCAUUCUGUAUAUUUCAUCAUUACCGUUUUAGACUGUAUUAUACUAUAUACUUUAUAUGCAUUGUUAUUCAGCUGAAAUAUUUUACUUUCGCUAUUGUUAUUUGUUAUUUGAGUAUUGAAACAAUAAAUGAAAGUCAUUGAGUCAAAUCAAAUGUUUGAUCUCUGUUAUUAGUAGUUUGACCAGAGUUACAGCUAACUGUAUUAAAAGCACAGUACUUUUACAAAAUAUUAUACUAGUAAGUAUUUGUUGUGACAGUUUGAGGCAAAUAAAUCACUUUUGAACUUUGUUGGUUUUACAUCCCAAAAAUAAUUUAGAUGUUUACGAGUUUGGUCAGUUCAGCACAGCUGUCCUUAUGAAGUUAAUUUGUUAACUUAGGUUCGGGAGCAGGGCCACGCCUCCACCACACCUCCAUCACCUGUCAAAGCUACAUAUACCGCUCUGUUCAGCCUGCCCUGCUUGUUUCAGAUGGCUCGAUGCAAGACCGACAACGAUCCACGCUCAACAGCCUAUGCUUAACAGCACAAUCACAAUCAUGGAUCCAGAGAACCAAAACCACAACUCGAUUCAGAAAACGAUCCAUUCAAAACAGAGUGACGUUAAGUUCCAAGCAGAUCUCAGUCAAGUGUCUCAGGGGAGCAGCUUGCGAUCCAGGGCCAGGAUCUCCAGUUCUCAAACAAGAUAUCCCCGACUCCCUGUGGCUCUCAGGCCUUUUCCUCUCCAUCAGCGAGGUCAGGAAAUUGAGGACGUCACGGGAGUCGGCAUCAACCCUUUCUUUGUCAGCAGCCUUCCUCCCAUACAAACACCAGCUACUCUACAUGGCGCCCGCCUCUGCAGCACGGCAUUAGAGACUGGACCGUCGCCCGCCUUCAACGAUUCCUCAGAGGGAAAGGCAUUCCCUUCAACUGCAACUUAGCCUCCAGCAACACUCGUGCAACAACAAACACCAAGCCUCGUGCACUUCUGGUUUCUCCGCCAGGGUCGGCCAUGGCCACUGGCGUCACGCAUGACGUCACAGGGCCUCAGCGGCCACAGCAUGCAUCUCCAGCUCCCCCUGGCGGGGGUCAGGUUGUAUUUCCCCAUGUGCCUGCUCCCUCUGUGUCUGAAAUGUCGCCGGCGAUUUCUGCCUCCUUGUCAUCCCUGUGUUCGCAUGCUUCACAAAACUCUUGUGCACAUACAUCCUUUCAUCCAUCAUCCCUUCCUCUAACCUUCCUUCCUAGCAAUACAACUUCUGCUCCUCUCUCUUUCCAAGCAGCCAACGCAACAAUUCAAGAGCCCCUCACAACAACUCAAUGGUCCUCACUAUGCGAGUUGGCAAACCUCAGCUUUCUUCUCCAUCUCCAACUGGUCUGUCCUUACCCCAACCCCCUCUGUCCAUCCCUACAUCUUCCCUUCCCCAACACCCAAAUGUUUUACGUGGGUGGUGUGGUGUGGGGACAGAGAGGAAGCUUUUAAACACCAGAAGAGAAACCGAGAGAGAUUAUGCGGACAUGACGGGUGUGCUAAUCGUCCUACUUGAUAGAUAAAAUUAAUUAAUUGUUCUUUCUAUACUAUUGCUGUUGCUGGUCAAGCGGCUAAUUUACGGCAGGCCAAAACAGCCUUCAGGCCAACAGUAAAUCUCCUGACCCUCCGGGCGGCCAAUCCACUAGUGCCUCUAACUUUCUUAUAGGCCUAUUCACACUUCGAAGAAUUAAACGGAUCA